GUGGGGAAUAUUGGACAAUGGGCGAAAGCCUGAUCCAGCCAUGCCGCGUGUGUGAAGAAGGUCUUCGGAUUGUAAAGCACUUUAAGUUGGGAGGAAGGGCAGUAAGUUAAUACCUUGCUGUUUUGACGUUACCGACAGAAUAAGCACCGGCUAACUUCGUGCCAGCAGCCGCGGUAAUACGAAGGGUGCAAGCGUUAAUCGGAAUUACUGGGAGUAAAGCGCGCGUAGGUGGUUUUGUAAGUUGGAGGUGAAAUCCCCGGGCUCAACCUGGGAACUGCCUCCAAAACUGCAUGACUAGAGUACGGUAGAGGGUAGUGGAAUUUCCUGUGUAGCGAUGAAAUGCGUAGAUAUAGGAAGGAACACCAGUGGCGAAGGCGACUACCUGGACUGAUACUGACACUGAGGUGCGAAAGCGUGGGGAGCAAACAGGAUUAGAUACCCGGGUAGUCC
This 450-nucleotide ribosomal RNA is filed under the name uncultured bacterium. Its description in RNAcentral is "bacterial SSU rRNA". It matches the Rfam family "Bacterial small subunit ribosomal RNA", at positions 354 to 796 of the family's 1533-position model. The record is from RNAcentral.